CCGCACGGGUGAGUAACGCGUAUGCAACUUGCCUAUCAGAGGGGGAUAACCCGGCGAAAGCCGGACUAAUACCGCAUGAAGCAGGGGCCCCGCAUGGGGAUAUUUGCUAAAGAUUCAUCGCUGAUAGAUAGGCAUGCGUUCCAUUAGGCAGUUGGCGGGGUAACGGCCCACCAAACCGACGAUGGAUAGGGGUUCUGAGAGGAAGGUCCCCCACAUUGGUACUGAGACACGGACCAA
Molecule: ribosomal RNA, 237 nt
Filed under: uncultured bacterium
Lineage: Bacteria
Description: partial 16S ribosomal RNA
Rfam family: Bacterial small subunit ribosomal RNA
Source: RNAcentral